AACGAACGCUGGCGGCAUGCCUAACACAUGCAAGUCGAACGAGACCUUCGGGUCUAGUGGCGCACGGGUGCGUACCGCGUGGGAACCUGCCCUUAGGUUCGGAAUAACUCCCCGAAAGGGGUGCUAAUACCGGAUAAUGUCUUCGGACCAAAGAUUUAUCGCCUUUGGAUGGGCCCGCGUUGGAUUAGCUAGUUGGUAGGGUAAAAGCCUACCAAGGCGACGAUCCAUAGCUGGUCUGAGAGGAUGAUCAGCCACACUGGGACUGAGACACGGCCCAGACUCCUACGGGAGGCAGCAGUAGAGAAUAUAGGACAAUGGACGAUAGCCUGAUCCAGCAAUGCCGCGUGAGUGAUGAAGGCCUUAGGGUUGUAAAGCUCUUUUACCCGGGAUGAUAAUGACGGUACCGGGAGAAGAAGCUCCGGCUAACUCCGUG
RNAcentral lists this ribosomal RNA (433 nucleotides) under uncultured bacterium. RNAcentral describes it as "partial 16S ribosomal RNA". It matches the Rfam family "Bacterial small subunit ribosomal RNA", at positions 29 to 507 of the family's 1533-position model. The record is from RNAcentral.